This 390-nucleotide ribosomal RNA is filed under the name Phelsuma inexpectata. RNAcentral's name for it is "partial 12S ribosomal RNA". It matches the Rfam family "Bacterial small subunit ribosomal RNA", at positions 795 to 1388 of the family's 1533-position model. Lineage: Eukaryota; Metazoa; Chordata; Lepidosauria; Squamata; Gekkonidae. The record is from RNAcentral.
GCUAGCCGUAAACCCAAGCAAAUACUUACUGAUUUGCUCGCCAGAAAAUUACACGCGAAAGCACAAAAUUCAAAGGACUUGACGGUGUUCUAUAUCAACCUAGAGGAGCCUGUCCUAUAAUCGAUAAUACACGAUAAACCUUACCCAUUCUUGCCACAACAGCCUAUAUACCGCCGUCGUCAGCCCAUCUAAUGAUAGAACAAACAUGAGCAAAACUGUCUACCCACCAAAACGUCAGGUCAAGGUGUAGCUAAUGAAUGGGCUGAGAUGGGCUACAUUUUUUAAAUUAAAAAAUACAGCAAGUAACAUGAAACACGAACUAUAAAGGUGGAUUUAGCAGUAAACUUAGUAAGACACACUAUGUUGAAAUCAGCUCUGGAACGCGUACAC